Long non-coding RNA from Columba livia (rock pigeon), 1265 nucleotides. RefSeq lists it as uncharacterized. The transcript has 3 exons. The record is from RefSeq and is a predicted model, not a curated record. Lineage: Eukaryota; Metazoa; Chordata; Aves; Columbiformes; Columbidae.
CCAGAAUGGACCCCUCACAGCUGAGCCAAUUAGCAAAGGCAGUGGUGCCUCUGGGAAAAGGUAUUUUAGAAAUGGUGAAACAGCACCCAGGCAAAACCCUGUAUGUGGAGUGACAUUUCUCAAGUGUCUAUCUGCAUGUCUGAACAGCCUCCAGCGACAAAAAAAGGGGCAGACAGAGAAUAGAAGUUAUAAGUUGGAUUUAAGUAGAGAAAGAAAGGGAUGGACCAAGGAUCAACUCUCUUGGGUGAAAGAUGCUGUCACCAGGCUACAGAAACACCAUCAUGUUUCCAGAAGAUAGGGGAUUUUCAAAGAAAACACCAAAUGACACGUCACUAUUCUCUGGAGCAGGUAUUCAUCAUCCUUCACUGGAAGAUCUGAUUUGCAGUAGUCAGAACUACAGACAACAAAUUCCAUUAGUAAUUUCAGCCUAUUUUGAAAAGGCACCAGCAGCUUGUGUCAGUAAAUCGCACAUAGUCCCAACGUUCACCUACAUCGCUGGUCGUAAAGGUGUGUUAAUACUUGAAAGAGAGAAAUCCAAAAUGCAAAGGAUCAGGAAUGUUCAACAGCACCAGAAAGCAGAACAUCUUGGAGGUAUCAUUCCCAUCCUUUUCAUUUUGCAUGUGAAUAAAAUAUGUUGCCAUUUUUUCCUACAUUUCCUUAUUUCUAUACUUCUCAUAUAAUCAUACUGAUGGUUAGUUAAGCAUGUAAAAUUGGGUUACAAUGCCCUUGAGCACCUGAGGACCUUCAUUCAGCACCACCACACUGCCUCCUCCAGACUGGAACAUAACAACUCUUUACGUGACAGAAAACAUCAUGUAAAAUAAAUGCUAGAGAAAUUCUAGAUAAGUAGACAAGUACUAGAGCUGGUGGAUAAUUAGUAAGAAAUAAUCAUACCUGCAAAUUUAACCUAUUUUCAAGCAUGAUAUUUGACACUGGUUUGCAAUAAUUAAUUGUUUUUUUUUUUUUUUUGGCAAAGCUGCAAAUCACACCAGAAGAUACACUGCAGAUAGAAGUUAAAUCUUACAAAACAUUAAAGUUUGACAUUUAACUGGCAUUCUAAUAAAGUUCGAGAGCAAGGAUGCUUCUAGAGAUUUAUCCAAAAAGGUCAUAAAAACCGGUCAUAAAUUCACUUUGGAAUUUCAAUCAAACCUCUCAGCUUUAUUUUUGCACUGUUCAGUCACUGUUAGUCCUAAUGAUCACUUGACAUGAAAUUUGGCUACAACAUUAAGGCUAACGGUUUGGCUCUUAGAAGAAUUCAAUGAAAA